Molecule: ribosomal RNA, 206 nt
Filed under: uncultured bacterium
Lineage: Bacteria
Description: partial 16S ribosomal RNA
Rfam family: Bacterial small subunit ribosomal RNA
Source: RNAcentral
CAUGUAGGCGGCUUAAUAAGUCGAGCGUGAAAAUGCGGGGCUCAACCCCGUAUGGCGCUGGAAACUGUUAGGCUUGAGUGCAGGAGAGGAAAGGGGAAUUCCCAGUGUAGCGGUGAAAUGCGUAGAUAUUGGGAGGAACACCAGUGGCGAAGGCGCCUUUCUGGACUGUGUCUGACGCUGAGAUGCGAAAGCCAGGGUAGCGAACG